UGCGCAGGCGGGCUUGUAAGUCAGUGGUGAAAUCCUGCGGCUCAACCGUAGAACUGCCAUUGAUACUGAUGUUCUUGAAUAUAGUUGAGGUAGGCGGAAUGUGUAAUGUAGCGGUGAAAUGCUUAGAUAUUACACAGAACACCGAUUGCGAAGGCAGCUUACUAAACUAUUAUUGACGCUGAGGUACGAAAGCGUGGGGAGCGAACAGGAUUAGAUACCCUGGUAGUCC
This 229-nucleotide ribosomal RNA is filed under the name uncultured bacterium. RNAcentral describes it as "partial 16S ribosomal RNA". It matches the Rfam family "Bacterial small subunit ribosomal RNA", at positions 568 to 796 of the family's 1533-position model. The record is from RNAcentral.